This 247-nucleotide unclassified non-coding RNA is filed under the name Hevea brasiliensis (rubber tree). Lineage: Eukaryota; Viridiplantae; Streptophyta; Magnoliopsida; Malpighiales; Euphorbiaceae. The record is from RNAcentral.
GGAAAGUUAGUCUGGUAACCUAGUGUUGUCUCCCCCAGCCAGGCCAGGAUAUUCUAUGUUAAAUGACAGCUAAGCACCACAUGCUCUUCAAGUUCCCAGGAAAUGCUCUCAGGUAGUAUAAUGCCAUUUUCCGGGCUCUUGGCAACACGAUGUUAUGCUGCUUAAUCCCUUUUAAGACCAAAAGAUACUGCUAGAAAAGAGCCACACUAAAGUACAUCAAUAGGUAAAUAGAUUCAGCCUUAUUUUA